Molecule: RNA transcript, 3781 nt
Organism: Brassica napus (rape)
Lineage: Eukaryota; Viridiplantae; Streptophyta; Magnoliopsida; Brassicales; Brassicaceae
Exons: 3
Source: RefSeq, a predicted model, not a curated record
AUUGUUGGCAAAGAAAAGAUUAGAAGGUCCAUUGUCUAGAUUAAGUGCCUAUGUAUUUGAUUUUAUUAAAUGUAGGAGUGUUCGUGUGAUGUGUUUUUUUUGCUGUCGUCCAAAGUUAGAAACAAAGUUACAAACUAUUGGUUAUGAAAAUAGAUAUGCUAGAGUAUGAGGAGCGUGUGUUGUGUUCACUGUAGGCUGAAGGUAAAAUAGUUUGUUUUAUUUAUUACGAAAGUAGAAACACAUCUCAGAUAGUAUGACACUAACAUAUUGUGCAUAAAUUCUGAAAAUAAAUUUUAUCAUUUGUUUGUAAUAAUAGGAUAUGUCACAUAGGCCUGGGACAUACUAUCCGAGAUCCAUAUUCGAUCCGAGAUCUGCUCCGGAUCUGCUUCGAAAAUAGGAUAUCCGGGGUGUCCGGAUCCGAAUCCGAAUAAUAAAAUCUUGGAUCCGUGCAAACUAAAUCCGGAUCCGGAUAUCUUAAUUUUUAGGUCUGGAUAUCCGGAUCCGGAUCCGUAUUUUUAAAAGACAUUAAUUUUUAAAUUUUAUUAAUAUUUAUAUUUGAUAUAUUAAUUUUAGAAUUUCUAAGCCAAGAUCUCUUAUUUAGUUGAGAUUAUGAGUUGAUAAAAAUAGACAUUAACCGGCUUUCAAGAUGUUGCAAUCCAGUUCAUCAAAUUAUGUUUAUUCUUUUGUACUUAAGAUGCAAGUAAAUCCGGAUCCGGAUAUCUUAAUUUUUAGGUCUGGAUAUCCGGAUCCGGAUCCGUAUUUUUAAAACACAUUAAUUUUUAAAUUUUAUUAAUAUUUAUAUUUGAUAUAUUAAUAUUAGGAUUUCUAAGCCAAGAUCUCUGAUUUAGUUGAGAUUAUGAGUUGAUAAAAAUAGACAUUAACCGGCUUUCAAGAUGUUGCAAUCCAGUUCAUCAAAUUAUGUUUAUUCUUUUGUACUUAAGAUGCAAGUAACCUCAUGUACACAGAAAAUGUCACCAGGAAGAAAUUGUCCCGGUUUGCGACCAAUACAUGUAACCUAAUAUACUUUGUGUUAGUGUUGUGAGUUCAUAUACACUCGAAAUCUAUUUAACUGCUACAUGUUUUUCCCACAGCGGCACACAGCCAUUAAAUUCAUAUUCGAUCGUUGCAUGAUCAAUAGGACAGAAGCUUAAGAAUAUUAUCAUUUGGCAGCUUCUCUAAGAAUAAGAUAUCUUAAUGUAAAGCUGUGACUGUGAGGGAUAAAAUCAUUGGGCUUGCGUGUUAUACUACCUGACUGACAUUUCUUAUAACAUUUUCUCGAAGAUUCCAGUAUACUCCGGUUAACCGUCUCCGUCAAACCAGCCUGAAAUAAACUGGACUUUUCUGCAAACUUCUCCACAAGCUUUGGCAGUUGGACUUUCUGACUGGGUAAGCUUAAUUUAAUUUUAAUGUAGUCUUCUUUCGACUAUCUUUUAGCUCAUAUUGGAUUUUCUUCGGUGUAUAUACACGAACCUGUUUCAAAAAAAUCAACAACCAAGAAGCAGAUACUUCAGCUUUUAUUUGGCAUUGACUAAAGAGUUUCACAAUUUCUCUUAAAGAUCAAAAUACUAUGGGAUCGGAGUGGAUGCUUGAAGUAAGUGCAAAAUGUAGGAAAGGUUCAGGAUAAUCGAUUGUGUAAAGUUAAUAUUUCAGCUCCUGCUUUGGAUUUUUUUGAAGCAAAUAGUAGUCUAAGCCACUGAAAGAGAAUAAAUGUAAAGAAAAAACCUUUUUUAACUUUUGGUUUGUGUUUGGAAGCUAACCUUCCAAAUUUUUAGGAAUUUCUUUUCAAACUUACCUGUCCAGGAUGAGAGUCUUUACAAUUAAUGUGACAUCUAAUGUUAAAAUAUACAUUAGCUUAGUGUGAUAUCUCGUGUAGAAUAUAACUUGAAAAGGAAAAUAGAUAACGGUUAGGAGUAAAAAGUAUUUAGUUAUACAAAUUACAUAUAUUUAAUCUAAAAUUAUCACAAAAUAAUACACAUAAGAGAAAAUGACUAAAAUAUCAUUUAUUAUCAAAUGAAAAAAGAUUAAUAAAAAAUAUUAGUGAUAUACAUGUUUUUAAAUAUUAGAGAUGCAUAUAAUAUAUGGAAGAAUAAAUUAUUUUUAAACUUAGAGAUACAUAUGUUUUAAAAUCUUUUCGUGAAUAUUAUUUUUUAUGAUUUUUAUGUGCUAUUUUUUUUGAACGAUUGUAUGUGCUAAUUUUAAGACAACCAAAUAUAAUCUAAUGUUUAUGUAGCCAAACCGGAGUCAUUGUUUUUUUUUUGACAAAAAAAAAAUUCUUUCUCCACAUAUCGCAAUCACAUGUGUCAACAUAUACUUGACUUUCAUCUAAGCUAUUAGGAUAAGUGAAAUGCUGCCAACUUAGUAAAACCAUUUGACUCUUCUCGUUCUUUGAAAGCAACGAAGGUUGCCUAAACUUUAGGAAAAAAAAAAUCGAUCCCCAAAUUUGAAACUUUAAUCUUAGGGUUACUCAUGGGCCGUAUCCAUUUUCAGAAUCAUUUCCGUCUCGAUUCAGAAUCAUCUCCAUCUCGCCACUGCUAGCGCUUGAUCGGAUUGAUUUGCUUCAGGCGAAACAUGGUAGUGAUUCCUCCAAAGAUUUUGAAUUUAUUAAUCUUUGUAUGUGAAUCAUGUAAUUCCCUUUAGAUGCUCCGUCGCGGCUGUGGUGUCCAAAUCGGUGGGUUUGACAGUGAGUUAAGAAGGGUAGUUCUGGUCAGUUGCCUCUGUGUUUUCUCCACAGCUCCGGUGAAUUAAAGUUUGUCUCUUUGCUUCGUUGUCGUUUCUGCUUCAUAUGCCUCGGGAAUGAACUACAUAAAGCUUCUGGCCAGAAUCCAUGGUUCUCCGGUGAAUUCCAAGAGAAUUCAAAUGGAGACCCAAGAGAUGGGAAUUCGCUAAUUGUCGUAGCAUAUUAUUUGAAAGAAAAUCUGAAUGACAUAGAACGUGAGGAAUCAAAAUUAGUUACACGUAAUUAAGUUCUUGGAGUAAAGGCCAUAAUUGAGAAGAGUAAUUUCUUGGUGUGAAAGUUAAAAGGAAACGUUUCGAUGGCCCAUCGACGAUGGGGUUUGCAGAGUAGGCGAGAAGACAACGUUGUGAAAGAUUAUAGUUUUUCUAUAAUGGGGACAGGUGUCAGUCUCUCCUUUACCCAAUUGAUGAUGUGGCAUCACCAGGAGAGAGUGAACUCUACUUUAUAUAAUUAGAUGUGUUUUUGUCCUAAACCUUACUUUGAUGUUAAUUUCAUGCUUAAUUUCUUGAUCAUUUGUCUCACUUCUUACUUGUUUCCCUUUGAUGUAGGAGAUACAGAUUUGAGGACAAAUAUUUUCAAAGGAGGAGGGGAUGAUGCAACCAUGGUUGAGCCAGAUGACUAUGCAAAAAAGGAUAAGCUUGGAUGGCUGAAUGGAAAGCUUGAAGAUGAACCAGAGGCUGGAGUGGAGCAUGCUGAGCUUAUCUCUCACUCAAGUGACAUUGAAAAUCAUGUCAAACAAGCUGGAAAAGAUGUGAUCAGACUCAUCCAUGACUUAGGCCUCUUUCUCAGCCUAAAAGAAGAUCAACAUCCAAGUUGAGGAUCCAUUGUCUCUUUCUGAAUGGACAGCCACAAAAUUCAAGUCAAGAAGUCAGCCAAAAUAAUUAUUAUUGAGUUUUCAUAAAUUUUAGUUUUAAUUAAGUUUUCUCAUUUUUCUACAAAUUUAGGACUUUUCGAUUUCCUUUUUUUCUUCUCUACUUAAACUCUCUUUUUUUUUUCAGAACAAAACAUUCACCUUUUUUAUAAAAAUCUCUCUAAAUCUGUGAAUCA